GAGAACUAUACUGAGAAUGAAAUCACCAACUUUUAGCUUUUGCUGUCGCGGCUCGUCAUAGUCGGGAUGCGUUAGUCCAUGAUUUGUUAAUACUAUUAUGGCAUAUCCAUGAACGUUUUUCCAUUAAGCAACAUUUCUCUAAAACGUGCGGAAAUCGUUGGACAUGAGUCGGUAAAGGGUUUGCCUGCCCCCGUACCGGUAUGCGGAAUCAUGCUCCUGAGCAGCAUUUACGACAACAAGUUUAAGCAUGAUAUGGUAAUGUAUGCAACAUUGUUUAUGGUUCCUGUGUGCAGGAUCCAGGCAACGGAUGGAAUGCUUUACGAUGGCUGACAGCUGCUCUGGCGGAUUUCAAAGAUAACCUUUCACUUGCAUCAUUUUUCCCUCAUAAAUUUCAAAAAUGUACUGCUUAUAUAUUUUAUGGAGCUUUUGGGAUCCACUGUUUUAGGAACGGGUACGCGUAAGGAAUGUGAGUAAAGGUUGCUGGCAGCCGGUAUAGCAAAAGGGUACCUUAUAAUACACGAUGCAAACGGUUAUAAUUAUCAAAACUCUUCAGAGUCAGUCGUGCAG
This 567-nucleotide long non-coding RNA is filed under the name Volvox carteri. RNAcentral's name for it is "long non-coding RNA (VCAR_LNC000952)". The record is from RNAcentral. Lineage: Eukaryota; Viridiplantae; Chlorophyta; Chlorophyceae; Chlamydomonadales; Volvocaceae.